Molecule: long non-coding RNA, 1653 nt
Filed under: Felis catus (domestic cat)
Lineage: Eukaryota; Metazoa; Chordata; Mammalia; Carnivora; Felidae
Description: lncRNA (ENSFCAG00000049385.1)
Source: RNAcentral
UUAAAAAAAAAUCACAGUAACAUAAAAUUAACCAUUUCAAAGGGUACAGUUCAGUGCCAUUUGAUCAUACUGUUGUAUAAACUACUGCAUCUAUGUGGCUCCCAAACAUUUAAUCACCCCCAAAGAAACCCCGUACCCCUCAAACAAUUACUCUCUGUUCUUCUCUCUCACCCUAGUCCCUGAGAACCACCAAUCUGACUGGGCUUCUCCAACAGGGAACACACAGAGCACGAUCCAUACAAAGGAAUAUGAAUCAGCCAUAAAAAGGGAACGAGGUUCUGAUACAUACCACGACAGGGACGAAUCCUGAAGAUGUUACAUAAUUGCAUAUAUAUAUGCAAUCAUACAAUAUGUAACCUUUUGUGUCCAUUUUCUUCAUCUAGCUUGUCUUCUUUUUUGCUGUUCAUCCACGUUAAAGCAUCUGUUCAGAACCCUAUUCCUUUUUAUGGCUGAGGAGUAUUCCAUUGUAUGGGUACACCUUCUUUGUUUAUCCAUUCAUCUGCUGACGGACAUCUGGAUUGUUUCCACCGUUUGGCUAUUGUGAAUAGUGCUGCUGUAGAAACAUUCGUGUACAAGCAGUUGAGUAUCUGUUUUCAACUCUUCUGGGUGUGCACCUAGGGGUAGAGUUUCUGGGCCACCGUUACAUUUUAAUUAGAAGGAUUCUCCACUCCUCAAGAUGUGUUGGUGAAGCCACUCUCUGGGACUUUCUACAGGACUCCCACCCAUCCUCGCACACUUUCUCAAUUCUUCAGUCUCACCUACUGGAAAUACUCCCACAGUCCUGGUCAUGGACUCCAAGGUACACGCUGUUAGGGUUUCUUAAUCCUGGGCCCUCACACACGGCUCUCGAUUUGCAGUUUGGUGUUUCGGGAGUGGAAGAAGGAGGCGCUGAAAUGGAGCAAGGGCAUCGUCGAGAAGGGCUGCUCUGCCGCCGGGACCCAGCCAACGUGGGAGGGCAAGAGCGAUCGAGGGGAGCUGUGUUCUCUGGCUGCCACUGGAGCCUCAGCUCCCACAGAGGAUGGAAAGGCUUGGCAUUCAUUACAAGAAUUUCAUGCGCGGAAGAUGAGAUGUACAGAUGUUUCCGGGCACCAGAAUGGCACUUCAGAGCCUCUCCCCAAAGACCCUGGUUUAACCGUGACCCUGACACAUUUGGGCUCUCUACUGUCGACUCUCCUGGUGAAACAAGGUUCAGCCUCCACUUGGAAAAAGGGAUGGGCUCUGGGGCCACUGAACAAAAUGCAUCGCCCUACAUUUUCUCCUCCUUUUCAGCUUUGGUCAAGUUGAGUUUCCAAUAGCAGAGUGGCCCAUGAUGCCAGGAGACCCUGUUUUCCACACUCUGAGGUCCUGGGAAGUUCUGUGCAAAUGGAUUUAAAAAAAAAAAUUUUUUUUUAACUUUAUUUAUUUUUGAGAGAGAGAGACAGAGUGCAAGUUGCGGGGGGGGGAACAGAGAGAGAGAGAGAGAGAGAGAGAGACAGAAUCCGAAGCAGUCUCCAGGCUCCGAGUUGUUAGUACAGAGCCCAAUGCGGGGCUCAAACUCACCAACUGCAAGAUCAUGACCUGAGCCAAAGUUGGAGGCUUAACUGACUGAGCCACCCAGGCGCCCCUGUGCAAAUGGAUUUUAAAAUAAACUAACUCAUAUGUAAAAUAUGUGAG